This 204-nucleotide long non-coding RNA is filed under the name Homo sapiens (human). Its description in RNAcentral is "non-protein coding lnc-XKR3-2:1". Lineage: Eukaryota; Metazoa; Chordata; Mammalia; Primates; Hominidae. The record is from RNAcentral.
UUAAUCUAUUCUUUACCGAGUGUCAUGUACUGCCUAGGUAUCAGUGAUAUAACUGUUAUCCUGCUAUCAAAUCUACUGAUAAGUGGCUCAUUUAACUUAUAUGCACUCAUCACAAUGCAAGAAAUCCUCUGACUGCUCCUACCAUCAUGACCCCUAGCCAUGAUAUGACUUGUCUCCACACUAGCAGAAACUAAUCGAGUCCCU